Molecule: non-coding RNA, 617 nt
Organism: Dromiciops gliroides (monito del monte)
Lineage: Eukaryota; Metazoa; Chordata; Mammalia; Microbiotheria; Microbiotheriidae
Source: the annotation of a RefSeq genome assembly
UAAAGGCAGCUCAAAAAGGAGAGGGAAGAUUCCAAGAUGACAAACAGGUGGUGAGGUGUUUAGACCUAUUAUGCUGUGACUCCAUCAUGAAUAUGCGGUUUCUUUGCUAUGUGGCCAUUAUUCUUCUGGGACCAGGCCUUAUGGAUGCUGGAGUUACCCAGAUUCCAAGAUUCCUGGUCACAAGGAAAGGAGAGAAUGUGACAUUUACAUGUAACCCUAUUGAAGGACAGACUUGGGUUUAUUGGUAUCAACAACUCUUAGAAAAAGAGAUCAAAUUUUUGAUAUAUUUCCAGGGCAUCAAUAAAAUGGAUGACUCAGGGAUGCCCAAAGAUCGAUUCUCAGCUAAAUGUCUUCAAAACAGGCGAUGUGAGCUGUCAAUCCAGCCCACGGAGCCUGGGGACUCGGGCAUCUUUUUCUGUGCCAGCAGUACAACCACAGUGUGGCAAAGUCUUCUCUUCUCUGGGCAUAAACCUCCAGCCACCGCACACAGGAAACAGCUAAUGGAGCAGCUUGUAACAUGGAGUUGGGACCUUGAAUCAGAGUUUGAGAUGAAGAAUUAUGAUUCAUGUAACUCUACAGACCCUGGGAAGCUCGGAGGAUAUGGCGGUGCUACGUAA